This is a long non-coding RNA of Oncorhynchus keta (chum salmon), 164 nucleotides long. RefSeq lists it as uncharacterized. NCBI's taxonomy places the organism in Eukaryota, Metazoa, Chordata, Actinopteri, Salmoniformes, Salmonidae. The record is from RefSeq and is a predicted model, not a curated record. The transcript is spliced from 3 exons.
AGAGGACUGUGUGUGUUCCUCUACAUCAGGUGAGGAACCUGGUUAUUAUAAUGGUUCAGAGGACUGUGUGUGUUCCUCUACAUCAGGUGAGGAACCUGGUUAUUAUAAUGGUUCAGAGGACUGUGUGUGUUCCUCUGUACAUCAGGUGAGGUACCUGGUUAUUA